This 515-nucleotide ribosomal RNA is filed under the name uncultured bacterium. RNAcentral describes it as "partial 16S ribosomal RNA". It matches the Rfam family "Bacterial small subunit ribosomal RNA", at positions 28 to 523 of the family's 1533-position model. The record is from RNAcentral.
GAUGAACGCUGGCGGCGUGCCUAAUACAUGCAAGUCGAGCGAAUGGAUUAAGAGCUUGCUCUUAUGAAGUUAGCGGCGGACGGGUGAGUAACACGUGGGUAACCUGCCCAUAAGACUGGGAUAACUCCGGGAAACUGGGGCUAAUACCGGAUAACAUUUUGAACCGCAUGGUUCGAAAUUGAAAGGCGGCUUCGGCUGUCACUUAUGGAUGGACCCGCGUCGCAUUAGCUAGUUGGUGAGGUAACGGCUCACCAAGGCAACGAUGCGUAGCCGACCUGAGGGGGUGAUCGGCCACACUGGGACUGAGACACGGCCCAGACUCCUACGGGAGGCAGCAGUAGGGAAUCUUCCGCAAUGGACGAAAGUCUGAGGGAGCAACGCCGCGUGAGUGAGGAAGGCUUUCGGGUCGUAAAACUCUGUUGUUAGGGAAGAACAAGUGCUAGUUGAAUAAGCUGGCACCUUGACGGUACCUAACCAGAAAGCCACGGCUAACUACGUGCCAGCCGCCGCAGUAA